This 1424-nucleotide long non-coding RNA is filed under the name Homo sapiens (human). RNAcentral's name for it is "HSALNT0230620". The record is from RNAcentral. Lineage: Eukaryota; Metazoa; Chordata; Mammalia; Primates; Hominidae.
CAGAACCUGACUAUGCUGGCACCCUGAUCUCAGUCUAGAUGAAUCUGCAGAAGUCCCAGGGAUACCUUGGUCAUAAGAAGUCUCAGGUACAAGUUAUCCAAGAUGGAACAGGAGUUCAAGAGCACAUCUAUUUACUGGACAAAAUAAAGCUCCAUGGUAAGACAGUUUGCAUCUGACAGUCCACUUGUGGCCAUUCCCCCACAUCCCACUCUCUCGAUGAGAACUGAGACCUUCAAUUCAGUGGUACCUGGGCUCAGGAACAGCCUGAAGGUAAGAGCUCUGCCCCACCACCUUGGACAAUGAGGACAUUUAAAGAGACUUAGUGGACCAAGCAUGAUGCAGAGGAAGAAAUAUGGGCUCAGACUUCUGUGCUGAGAAGCUGAGAAGCAGAACAAAAGGAAGGAAAUUUCCCCCAGGUUCUGAAAUAGUCAAGCUGUCACUCAAUAAGAUGAGAGAUUGGGCAGUCACAGAGAAAACAGAGAUUUGGCCAGGGAUUUUGCCCGUGGAAUCACAAUCUGGAAAUGUUUCUUUCUGGCUGCCCUGGAAGUUCACCAUUUCCAAGCUGCAUGAGAAGCUGAAUGGGCUCUUUCUCCAAUGGAUUGAUCAUUGUGCCCAAGCUAAUUACUGCCUUAAUACCCUACCUCCUGCAGAUGGCAAAUUGGGCACAGAUAAGACAAGUGGCUGGUCCAAAACCACAGGCUGAGUCAGUGGCAGGGAUGGGAGUAAGGUUGAGUAACCAGUGGCCCUUCCUUUUGUUACCCUGGCCAAGAAGCAAGCCCUGCCAGAGCAGCUGCCCUUCCCUGGUGCACUGAGAUGGGCUGGGAUGACAUAGUUGAGCCCUGCUCCACCCUCUGCUCCCUAGCUUCCCAGGUGAGCUGUGGCCUGCAGAUCUGCUGUGCUGGGAGAAUCUGCUUGCUGCAGGAUAAUAUUAGCUCACUUUUAUUGCCAUGGGCUGGGCGCCCUCCGGCAGCUUGGCUGUAAACCUUUGAUCCACUGGGCUCCAGGAGCUGCAGAUUUUGACUGUGUGCUCAGCCCUAGACUCCCCACACACUGCAUGGGGCAGGCAGAGAAAGGAGGGGCCCACAGGCAGAAAUUCAACUCCUCUGCAGCCACCUCAAAAAACAGCAGCACUCUGAGGCAGUCAGGUUAGAAGGGGAGAGGGACACUGUUUCACCAUCGUGUUCUCCAAGACCCACCAGUGAGUGUUCCCCAGACCCAGAUGCUUGUAUACCACGCUCAUGAUUUGCCCCAUAAUAACUGCAUUAUUUAUUUUGUAUUUUUAUUUAAAUUAAUUCACCAUGGAUGGUAAAACUCAAAUUUAUUUUGAAAGAAGUUUCAGAAUACUUCCACAAAUAGAAAACUAAUACCACUUGCUUUUUUGUGGGAAUUGAACAAUGAGAACACAUGGACACAGGAAGGGGAAC